This 245-nucleotide unclassified non-coding RNA is filed under the name Hevea brasiliensis (rubber tree). The record is from RNAcentral. Lineage: Eukaryota; Viridiplantae; Streptophyta; Magnoliopsida; Malpighiales; Euphorbiaceae.
UUGUAUUUGUCUGCAAAGCAACAACAGGAUCAAUAAAUAAUAUGAUCAUCACAUAUUACAUACAAUUCAAAAUGAUGAGAAUUGUAAGUCUUCGGCUAUAAAUCAUGCACUGCAAUAGAAGAUUUAAUCCUCAAGUUGAACAACAUUAUGGAAAUAAGAUAUAUACAUGAAAGAACCCACAGCAAGUAAACUAAGUAACCAAUUGUAUUAUACUACAACUAAAAACUGAUACAAGUAACACCAUG